GAUGAACGCUGGCGGCGUGCCUAAUACAUGCAAGUCGAGCGAACAGACGAGGAGCUUGCUCCUCUGACGUUAGCGGCGGACGGGUGAGUAACACGUGGAUAACCUACCUAUAAGACUGGGAUAACUUCGGGAAACCGGAGCUAAUACCGGAUAAUAUAUUGAACCGCAUGGUUCAAUAGUGAAAGACGGUUUUGCUGUCACUUAUAGAUGGAUCCGCGCGGCAUUAGCUAGUUGGUAAGGUAACGGCUUACCAAGGCUACGAUGCGUAGCCGACCUGAGAGGGUGAUCGCCCACACUGGAGCUGAGACACGGUCCAGACGCCUACGGGAGGCAGCAGUAGGGAAUCUUCCGCAAUGGGCGAAAGCCUGACGGAGCAACGCCGCGUGAGUGAUGAAGGUCUUCGGAUCGUAAAACUCGGUUAUUAGGGAAGAACAAAUGUGGAAGUAACUAUGCACGUCUUGACGGUACCUAAUCAGAAAGCCACGGCUAACUACGUG
RNAcentral lists this ribosomal RNA (497 nucleotides) under uncultured bacterium. RNAcentral describes it as "partial 16S ribosomal RNA". It matches the Rfam family "Bacterial small subunit ribosomal RNA", at positions 28 to 507 of the family's 1533-position model. The record is from RNAcentral.